This 113-nucleotide ribosomal RNA is filed under the name Candidatus Woesearchaeota archaeon. Lineage: Archaea; Nanobdellati; Candidatus Woesearchaeota. The record is from RNAcentral.
CUGGACGGCCAUAGGGGCGUGGUUCACCCGUUCCCAUUUCGAACACGGACGUUAAGAACGCCUCCGUACCGGGGUGUACUGCAUUACGCGGGAAACUUGGUAAGCUGUCCAAC